GACGAACGCUGGCGGCGCGCUUAACACAUGCAAGUCGAACGGAAAGGCCUGCUUUCCCUUGUGGAUUGCGGGUACUCGAGUGGCGAACGGGUGAGUAACACGUGAGUGAUCUGCCCCCAACUUGGGUAUAAGCCUGGGAAACUGGGUCUAAUUCCCGAUAGGACUGCAGGGUGGUGCCUGUGGUGGAAAACGAUUUUCUAGUGGUUGGGGAUGAGCUCGCGGCCUAUCAGCUUGUUGGUGGGGUAAUGGCCUACCAAGGCGGCGACGGGUAGCCGGCCUGGGAGGGUGGACGGCCACAUUGGGACUGGGAUACGGCCAAGACGCCUGGGGGAGGGAGGAGUGGGGAAGAUUGCACAAUGGGCGGAAGCCUGAGGCAGCGAGGCCGCGUGGGGGAUGACGGCCUUCGGGUUGUAAACUCCUUGCGACCGCGAGGAAGCCACCUGGUUGGAAGGGUGGUGACGGUAGUGGUAGAAGAAGCACCGGCUAACUACGUG
RNAcentral lists this ribosomal RNA (494 nucleotides) under uncultured bacterium. RNAcentral describes it as "partial 16S ribosomal RNA". It matches the Rfam family "Bacterial small subunit ribosomal RNA", at positions 28 to 507 of the family's 1533-position model. The record is from RNAcentral.